Molecule: ribosomal RNA, 187 nt
Filed under: Klebsiella pneumoniae
Lineage: Bacteria; Pseudomonadati; Pseudomonadota; Gammaproteobacteria; Enterobacterales; Enterobacteriaceae
Description: partial 23S ribosomal RNA
Rfam family: Bacterial large subunit ribosomal RNA
Source: RNAcentral
CGGAAGAGAUAAGUGCUGAAAGCAUCUAAGCACGAAACUUGCCCCGAGAUGAGUUCUCCCUGAGACUAUAAGUCUCCUGAAGGAACGUUAAAGACGAUGACGUUGAUAGGCCGGGUGUGUAAGCGCAGCGAUGCGUUGAGCUAACCGGUACUAAUGAACCGUGAGGCUUAACCUUACAACGCCGAAG